Equus asinus (donkey) is the source of this 3351-nucleotide long non-coding RNA. The record is from Ensembl. Lineage: Eukaryota; Metazoa; Chordata; Mammalia; Perissodactyla; Equidae.
GCUCCUUUCCCUCCGCGGGAGCUCCAGCCCCACACCCCGGGACACUCGCCCCGACACAUACACUCACCCCCACACUCACACACGUCCACGAACACUCGCAAACAGGGCAGCACACACACUCUCGCACAGCCACCCAUGCUCACACACACAUCCAUAUCCACACUCAGAUCCCUAGGCUCACACACACUCCUACCCACACACGCUUGCACUCAAUGCUUUCAUGAACACUCACACUCACACACACAUUCGCACGCACCACCACACACACUCCUUUGUGAGGCUGGCGUCUCCCCCCUCCAGAGGUCCUGCCUGACCUCCCUCCGUUUCUCCAGCUUUGCGCCUUGUUCGCUGACGCUCCGCGGGGCUGCCCCCACAUCCUUUCAGCAGAGGGAUGCCCAGGCGCAGCCCUGGCUUCUGUUCCAGGGUGACGGUGCUGCUCCCGUCCGCGCGGGGGGCACCUGUUGCUGCGCAGGGCCACAUCGAGCUUGUUCGCAGUUGCAUCCCAGCCCUGCCACAGGCCUGGAACACAGUGGGUGCUCGAGCAAUGUUUUGGAGGACGAACGAACGAACGAGUGAAUGCACAGGACCACAGGGUGUCUGAACAGGAAGGCCCUUGUGCACACCACCUGCCAGGGGAGCCGAGGCUGAGUGAGAGGCGCGGCCGCGGCCGGGGCAGAGCACGGAGGGACGCCCCACUGGGCCUCAGCUUCCUGCCUCCCACUUGGCCGGCAGUUCUGUCUCCACUUUUCCACAGGGACAAGGAUGCGGCCUCCCCUCCUUAGUGGGCUGGUUCUGGAACCCACUAUUCUCCCACUUCUGCCCCCUCACAGAGAGCAGGCAGGCCAGGAGGUGGUGGGCAGCAGCCCGGGGGGGCACAGGCCAUGCUUCUGCUCUGCGCGUGGCCCGGCCCUCUCCCUGGGCACAGCACCCUUCCACCGGCUCCCGCCUGCCACCAGGGCUGUGAGGCUCAGCAGGUGAGGCUGGGCAGGAAUCAGGAGUCCCCACGUGUCCUCCCUCUCUGUUGGCCUCGAUUCUCACUGACUGGAUGCACAUAUCAAAUCUUGGGAACAGUAGGUAGUUUGAAAACAGUUUGAAAAUGCAUAUUCAACCUUUUUGAUUUUUUUUAACGUCAGGUCGCAACAGCAAAAAGCAAGUUUGACAAAGAUCUUCUUGGGGGUGGGGUGGGGGUCGUGGAGAAAUCGAGACAAAGGUGUUGAAGAUUUGGAAACGCUGCCUUAAGAAUGUGGAGACAUUGAGUAGUGAAAAUGAGGUGCUUGGUGUGAGUGUGCGCCGUUUUGUGGGUGCUGAGGUGUGUGGGUGCAGGUUGGCAGCUGUGGGUCCCUCGUGUGCGCACUGCUGAGGCCCCUGUGUGAUUGUCUAGGUCUGAACGUAUGCGCCGCGCUGUCUUGUCUGGAUGGAGAGGAAGGAUGUGCCAUGGGGGGAGGAAGGGACAUCUUUGGGUGGGAGGCCAGGGUGGUCCUGGCCUGAGGACGCGAGGUGGGAGCCAGCCUUCUCCGUGUCCACUGCCCUCGGCCGACUGGACCAGCAGAGCUCAUGGUCAUUUAAGGUGCUGGCUGGGUCAGGCAGCUGUUUGGGUGGCAGGCCACCCGGGGCCGAGAUGGUGUGGGCCUUCCAGGGGGGCCCUGGGAGCUAUUUUUAGUGGUCUGGGCUGACUCCCAAAUCCUGCUGACUAUUUCUGGCCCCAGAAGACUGCCCUGAAGGAUGUGGAAAAUUUUCGUGUCAAGAAUGUCUGAUUUCCCUUUGGCUAUGCAAGGGCAUUGCAGAGAGACCGGGACAAAAGGCUGGAGGCCCGAGGGCUUCUGGGAAAAUUCACUGGCACUGAGAGCAUGAAAUGCCAUCUUCCUGCCCUUUGGAGACUACCAUGGACUGUUAAAAACACCAGCGUCAUUAUGGGCGACCGUCUGGCCCGGGUUGCCUCCGUGUCUCAGUUUAGCACUAGAAGCCUGGCAUCCGGGACACCCUUCUGACCCAGGCCAACGGGGACGGUGGUCACUUGAGCUCCGCUUCAGCCUCUUUUAGUUCUAGAAGUGAAAUUAAUCAGAACGAGAAUUGAACUACCCGCAUCACCUUCCAGAAUGUUCUCAAUCAUCACAUACCGGAGGUGCUGUUUUCACCUCCAUUUUCACAUCAAGAAACUCAGGCACAGAGCUGCGAGGCAACUUGCCUAGUGCAGAACAGCCAGUGAGUGUGGGGCCAGGGUGUAAGCCCUGCUGCUCUGGAGCGGUUAAGUCGUGUCCAUGGGGAAGAUUUCAAAGCAGCCAGGAUGUGAUCUGUGAUGAGUGGCUUCUCUCCAGCCCCACCCCAGUCUCCUGACUCUCCGUUGGAGGAACUGAUGCCAUCAGUGUGUCACGUGGCCAGCCUUCCUCCGCCGGCUUCGAGAGAACGAGGGCUUGAGGCGUGGUGCAUGGAAGGAAUUAGCUUCUCUCCUCUGCAUCCCGAGUGGUACCGGUUAUGAACCAUCCUUCGGUGAACUGAGCCUUUGUCCCUUGUGUCAUUUUCCGCAUUCUGUGCCAGAUCCUGACCCCCAGCUGGUCGGUUAAGUCACUUGCUUGGGGGCAUACAGUGGGGAAGUGGCAAAACUGGGAUUUGAACCCAAGUGAGUCUGAAUCCAAAGCCUGUGCCCUUUCUGCUCCACCACCUAAUGGCUGCGAAUGCGUCCAGAAUGGCCAGGGGUCAGGCUGGCAGGUUGCCCACCUCCAGAGGGUAUUAUUCACAUUGCAGUCUGUGUGCUUGGCACCCCCGGCAUUGUGCAGUGCACAGUCUGUGAGGCCGCACAUGGCAACCGUGCUGGGGUGCCCAUGCUCUACUCUCAACAACAACAACACAAUCACCGCCUUUAAGAACAUGCAGCAGCAGGGGCUGGCCCCGUGGCCGAGUGGUUAAGUUCGCGCGCUCCGCUGCAGGCGGCCCAGUGUUUCGUUAGUUCGAAUCCUGGGUGCGGACAUGGCACUGCUCAUCAAACCACGCUGAGGCGGCGUCCCACAUGCCACAACUACAAGGACCCACAACGAAGAAUAUACAACUGUGUACUGGGGGGCUUUGGGGAGAAAAAAUAAAAUAAAAUCUUUAAAAAAAAAAAAAACAUGCAGCAGCAAACCAGUUGACUCAUAAAUUCUUUCUCUUAUAUGUUCAUUAAGAAGUUAUUAGUGAUACUAAUAACAUCAAAGUUGAGAGAGGCUGUUUCCUGCCUUCCAGGGCCUCUCAGUCACUGUGAUUUAGAAGUGCCUUGUGAUCAAAGGGGAGGAUUGGACUGACCCUGUUGGGCUGAGGAUCAGGGAAGGCUCCUUGGUGGAGGGGGCAGUUGGCUGGGCCCUGAAGGAUGAAUAGGAG